AGGAUGAACGCUGGCGGUCUGCUUAACACAUGCAAGUCGAACGGAGUAGAAAUACUUAGUGGCGGACGGGUGAGUAACGCGUGAGAAUCUACCUUCAGGACGGAGACAACAGUUGGAAACGACUGCUAACCCCCGAUGUACUGAAAAGGCAAAUAUUUAUAGCCUGAAGAAGAGCUCGCGUCCGAUUAGCUAGUUGGAGAGGUAAAAGCUCACCAAGGCGACGAUCGGUAGCC
RNAcentral lists this ribosomal RNA (233 nucleotides) under uncultured bacterium. RNAcentral's name for it is "partial small subunit ribosomal RNA". It matches the Rfam family "Bacterial small subunit ribosomal RNA", at positions 26 to 288 of the family's 1533-position model. The record is from RNAcentral.